Microcebus murinus (gray mouse lemur) is the source of this 4872-nucleotide RNA transcript. It is a transcript of the gene named DnaJ heat shock protein family (Hsp40) member C5, with no coding region annotated. The record is from RefSeq and is a predicted model, not a curated record. Lineage: Eukaryota; Metazoa; Chordata; Mammalia; Primates; Cheirogaleidae.
CGCGCGCGCCGGUGCGGGUGCGUGCGCGAGCGUGCGUGAGCGUGCGCGUCCCCGCCACCUCUGCCGGUGCUGUUCCCGCGCCCUCUGCCGCCGCCGCCGCCGCCGCCCCGGGAACCCAGGCUGAGGAGCGCCUCGGCCGCUGCCCAGCAGCGCGGCGGAGCGGGGAGCGGGCAGCGGAGCCGCGGAGUCGGCGGGCGGGCGGCCGACGGGCAGAUUAGCCUAACAUGGCAGACCAGAGACAGCGCUCACUCUCUACCUCGGGGGACUCACUAUACCACGUUCUUGGGCUGGACAAGAAUGCAACCUCAGAUGACAUCAAAAAGUCCUAUCGGAAACUUGCCUUGAAAUAUCACCCUGACAAGAACCCUGAUAACCCAGAGGCAGCAGACAAGUUUAAGGAGAUCAACAACGCCCACGCCAUCCUGACAGACGCCACAAAAAGAAACAUCUACGACAAGUACGGCUCCCUGGGGCUCUACGUGGCGGAGCAGUUUGGGGAGGAGAACGUGAACACCUACUUUGUGCUGUCCAGUUGGUGGGCCAAGGCCCUGUUUGUCUUCUGUGGCCUCCUCACGUGCUGCUACUGCUGCUGCUGCCUGUGCUGCUGCUUCAACUGCUGCUGCGGGAAGUGUAAGCCCAAAGCACCCGAGGGCGAGGAGACGGAGUUCUACGUGUCCCCCGAGGACCUGGAGGCACAACUGCAGUCGGACGAGAGGGGAGGGCACUGACACUGUGCCGCGAGUGUUUGUGUGGCAGCUGGGACUGUUGAGGUGUGAACAUGGACCCUGGAGAGGCCACAGACACGCCGAUCGUCAUACAGCCAGCGUCUGCCACCGAGACCACCCAGCUCACGGCCGACUCCCACCCCAGCUACCACACUGACGGGUUCAACUAAGUCUAGGAGAAGCCGUGGUCACAGGCGAUCAGCGCCUGGCCACCCCAACCUUAGAAUCAUGAACUGUAGUCACAGACAUGGGGAGGCUGCUGCCUGCCUGCCGCGGCUGCGCUGGGCCCCUCCCGCCACCUCCACGCCCGCCCAGCAUCGACCCUUGACCCACGAAGUGCGUAGCAUGCAGUAUUUAAAGCAGUGUAGCUACGGUCUUCUUCUGUUUUUCCUUUUUUAAUAGCAUGUAUGGGGUUAUGUUCCAUGUCUGUGUUGUGGAUGUGCGUGGCACGGCCGUGUCACCCGGACGGUGGAGCUGCCUGGGGGCUCUCGGUCAGGUCGGUCCGCUGAGGGUUGAUCGCAGCCGCCAGGUGCUGCCCGGCCAGGUGGGCAAGGAAAGGAAGGAGCUGCCCCCUCCUGCCCUGUGUUCUCAGCAGCUGGAGGCAGGAGCCACCUGGCGGGGCUGCGUCUCUGCGUCGGCCGCAGGGUCUGGUCUGCGCUCUGUGCUCCCCAGCCCCAAGGCCUCGCAAAGUUUUGAUGUCACCUGCCAGGGAAGGGCUGGGCCACGUCCUCCCGGGUACCACCAGCAUCCUCGUCCGUUCCACGUGUUUGUGUCGGGCACGGUUUACGUGGGAUCUCUUCGCCUUGUUGACAGGGCCUCGCGGUGGGAUUUUUCCUGUGGGUAAAUCUGUUGUGGAAGGAGUAGGCGGGGCCCUUCUGAGACUGAAGCCACGUUCUCUGCACGGUGUUUCUAGCCUGAGUCUCCUUGUCACAGGGACUGUGAGGCUCCUGUCCUUGGAGCUGUGUCCUUCGCCAGUGUGUGGAAGGUCGUUUGCGUCCCUGCCCCUUCCCAGGCAGCGAGCUGGCUUGUCAGGGCCAUGUGUCCCCUCCCUCUCCCUGGGUCAUCCUCCACAUUCCUUCAAGCCACCUGUCCUUUUUGUAAUAAAUCCUUUCUGGACCUUUAGAACCACAAAUGGUAGGACCAAUCUGAUCAGUCACAGUCAGAGGGACUAUGAGUUCUGGUGUGGGGCACGGCUGCCUGUACCCUGCCCUGGCGACUGUGUUGGCCAGAGCUCCCCGACGCCACUCGCCUUCGCCCGUCCCCGACGAUCAGGCGGGACUAGAGAUGCUGGGUCCCCGAAGGAUGGGCUGGCUGGACCAAAGGUCCCUCAGCUACGGGAGGGUUGGGCUCCAGAGAGGCCAGUAGCUAGGCCGAGGGGCUCGGAGCUGCCCCCGCCCUGGCCCCGGAGCAGAGUCCGGGGGCUGGUGUCUGCAGCACUUGCCGCUGGCUGCACCGAGUGUCUUCCGAACUUGCAGUGGAGAUGGAGGCAAGGACCAGGCUGUGCCUCUGCUGGCCUGGCUGGGCCAAACCAGAGAGUGGUCCCGAAGCCCACUCCUCCCGCCCACCUGCUGGCUCCGCCCCCCAGGACUGUGAGAGGACUGUCAGGAAGGUGCUGCCCGAGGGGGGGCCCAGUUGGCCCCCUGUGGACCCGACGUGGGCCCUGAGCUGGCUGCCAGCACCAGGUCCUGGGGCAGCUUGUUCCAUUUUGCUUUGCUUUUUACUCAUUAAAAUGAUCAUGAAGACUUUCGGUGAGAGGGAAGAUAUGCACUGCACUACGUUAUUAAGUUAGAAAUAAUUUGUUAAAAAUCAAACCUCUCAUUGUUUUACCCAUCCUGGAGCAAGGGAGGAGGCGAGAUAACAGGGAACCUCCUCUGCUGACCCCAGAGGAUUCCAUCUGCGGUCCUGCCGCAGCCUUGGUGAUUGUUCCAGAGACAGCUUAGGAAGUGAGUUGCUUUCCCCGGAAUGGCCGAGAGCCAGGCUCCACCUGGCCUUCGGGGGUCUGCACGCAGCUCUGUGGCUGGAGCACGCCCAGGCCCUUUCACUGUCUAGUGGGCCCCGUGCCAGGUGGCCUCCCAGUUCCAGAACCCACUGACUGCUCCUCUGAGUCGCACAGCUCCCCGGCAGCGGGUAUAGCAGAAAAGAGCAGCAGGUCUGGAAGUUUUCGAAAGCCAGGCCCCUGUGUAAUUUGUGAAAACUAAAUAUAAAUCAAGGAUGGCCGUGACAACAGUUCUCAUGGUGAUGACCGUUACCACAGUGGAAUCCAGACAGCCAGGGCCUGGGGCUCUUCCCACCAACUGACCCUGAGGCAAAGCCCCUUUUCCAUGUUUCACUCCAUCGGUUAUAAGGCUUUGUGUUUUGAUUCAAGGAAACAGAUCUCCCCGGUUUCAUUUCCCUUUCUCUUGAGUGGACUGUUUGUUUCCCUUUUAAUAAACAGAGCUGGUGUGUCUGAGGGGCAGCUUGAGCCCCUUCCUGUUGACCUGCUACCUGGCCAGGACGCCCUGCAGCGCCCAGCACCUCUGCCUGAUCAUGGUCGGGACAGGAGCACCCCAGCCCCACUCUGGGCUGCGGGUGGCGUGGCCGGCGUGUUGCCAGGGGAGUGUUGGGGUGGGUGUGUGCUGAAGACCCUCCAGUUGUGAGGAGCGGUCCCUCCACGGUAGCUGCUGAUGUGUAGGUUUCCGUUCCCACUCAGUGACGUGGGCUUUUCUUGUCUUCCUUUUCGCUUUAUUUCUAAAUUGCUUUAGAUAUUACUGCUUAAUGUUUGUGAACUUCCCUAGUUCUCUGAUGUUCAGUCAAUGCAGCCAACACCCAAUGGGGACCUUUUAGAGAAAAAACCCAAGUGUGCGUGGUUGGCAGGAGGCUUUGUCUCCUUGUUAUCAGUUGCUGGACUUGGCCCAAGGGUCCAGUCCAGGAAAGGGCCCAUAGAGCAGUCAGGACUGUCCUCAGAGGUUCUGACCAGUAGCAGUGCCGUUGUCCUGCGGGGCCCGUGGCAGUCUGUUCCGGGUGAGCCUCGUGCUGGGACUUCUCUCCAUGCAGCUGGUGGUCUGGGAGGUGCCCGCUUCCCCGCACCAGACGAGGUUGGCGCUAGCGGGUAGAGCACAGGGUGGGUCCUGUCCAUCCUCUCCUGGCUCUGGGUGCACCUGCUGCAGGGGGGCUCCUAAGGGUAUAAAAAGCGACUGAUCUCAUUCCUGUCCCCGUGUUCUGAGCUGUGCGCCGUGUGGCACAGGACUGACCUGUUGUUUUGGUUGUGAGUCAUCCUCCUGUGGAAUUGGCAAAAGCUACUUUAUUACUGUCCGUACAAGCACGGUUUGCGUUGUCACAUACUGUGAGUGUGGGCUGUGGUAUGUGUCCGUGUGUGUACAUAUGUGUAUAUGUAUAUAACACGCAGCAGGUGUGUCAUGCUGCUGUCUGGCAGUGAAGCAACAAGUACAAUAAAAGUUGGCUCUAAAAUGGCCUCUGGUUUCUUGGCAAGUUGGACAGGGACUGGGUCUCCCCGCGGCAGGCACACAGAAGGAAACGCCUCAGCCGUGGUGUGCAGGGAGCGGUGAGGGUGACUGUCACGAACACAUGCCCAUCCCUGGGGGCUGUCAUCCUCACCUGGUCCACAGGUGUGUGUCCCCCUGUGAAUCUAAGUGGUGACUGGAAACCCUUCCCUCCCUGGAGGCAUCAAACCAGUUUUCCAAGCAGCAGAUACAGUGGGGGGAAGCUGCCUGUAGGGCAGGCUGGGAAGGCCCCGCCCUGGCCCCAGGCCCACCCUGGGAGGGACGGCAGGGGGUCGGAGGCCACCACUGUCCUCCAGGGAAGGGGUCAGGGCUCCUACAGGCAGCACCCGUGGGUAGAUUUUGUUUUCCUGGAAAAUGGGGUUAAUGUUUCAAGCCAAAUGAGGGGAGGAAGUUUACACUGAAACAUAACAUACCUUGUUUUUAAAAUUAAAUACAGAUGCAUGGAAGCCAAUUGUCCAUGCACUGGUUUUGUCCUCUUACUGGAAUGGACCGUGCUGGGUGCAGGCUGUCAGAGCUCCUGGCCAAUCCUGGCUCCCACAUGCACAUCUAAGGGCCAGGCUGGUGUCGCAUGGUGAUCGCUGUCUUGUGUGUCUGAAUGUUGACCUAAAAUAAAGAUAUCUGUUGUAAAAAUAAAUGUUUUCACUGCA